This 254-nucleotide ribosomal RNA is filed under the name uncultured bacterium. RNAcentral's name for it is "partial 16S ribosomal RNA". It matches the Rfam family "Bacterial small subunit ribosomal RNA", at positions 524 to 776 of the family's 1533-position model. The record is from RNAcentral.
UACGGGGGGAGCAAGCGUUGUUCGGAUUUACUGGGCGUAAAGCGUGCGCAGGCGGCUGUGCAAGACAGAUGUGAAAUCCCCGGGCUCAACCUGGGAAUUGCAUUUGUGACUGCACGGCUAGAGUGUGUCAGAGGGGGGUAGAAUUCCACGUGUAGCAGUGAAAUGCGUAGAGAUGUGGAGGAAUACCGAUGGCGAAGGCAGCCCCCCUGGGAUAACACUGACGCUCAUGCACGAAAGCGUGGGGAGCAAACAGG